RNAcentral lists this ribosomal RNA (229 nucleotides) under uncultured bacterium. Its description in RNAcentral is "partial 16S ribosomal RNA". It matches the Rfam family "Bacterial small subunit ribosomal RNA", at positions 568 to 796 of the family's 1533-position model. The record is from RNAcentral.
UGCGCAGGCGGCCUGGUAAGUCAGGGGUGAAAUAUGACGGCUCAACCGUCAAACUGCCUCUGAAACUGUCAGGCUUGAGUCCGGGAGAGGAUGGUGGAAUUCCUGGUGUAGCGGUGAAAUGCGUAAAUAUCAGGAGGAACACCAAUGGCGAAGGCAGCCAUCUGGCCCGGUACUGACGCUCAGGCACGAAAGCUAGGGGAGCGAACAGGAUUAGAUACCCUGGUAGUCC